Molecule: long non-coding RNA, 1242 nt
Filed under: Homo sapiens (human)
Lineage: Eukaryota; Metazoa; Chordata; Mammalia; Primates; Hominidae
Description: HSALNT0322200
Source: RNAcentral
UGUUUGGAUUACAGGUGUGAGCUACCGCACCCGGCAACAAGGACAUUUUUAUACAAGCUGAUAGGGCUGUGAAUUCCUGGUUGUAUGAGACGUGAAUUCCUGGUUGCUCCACUCCAUCUUUCCGGAGUGGAGACCCCAAAUUCUGUUGGGGAAAGUGUACAACUACUGCUCUUAACUGCUUCCUGCCGACAAGGGGUGCUGUUUUGGGAAAGUGGCAGUUAAGGCUCCUCCUGAGAAUCCUCCAUCUCAGGAAGGCCCCAGUAUUGCCAGGCUGGGAGAAACCCAAGCCAUGAGGAUAGACCAUGAAUAGGAGUUCUGGUUGACAAUCCCAGUUCACUCCCAGCUUCAAAUACACAAGGCCAAGUGCCAGAUACGGGCAUAAAAAGCAAUUUUGGAAGUGGACACUCCAGUCCCAGCUGUCCUAGCCCUCAGCUAUUUGAGUUGCAUCCAGACAUGUAAAUCUUCCCAGCUGAGGCCUCAUCAUUGAGGUGCAGAAAAGGGGCAUGCCCAUUGUGCCUGUUUCUAAAUUCCUGACCCACAGAACCUCUAAUCAGCAAUACAACUGGGAUUUGAUAUCAGAUUCAUGCGAUUCCGAAGACCCUGACCACCAAAUGCAAAAGGAUAAGAGGGCAUCUCUUCUUCCAUAUUCAUAAAUACGUUGCCAACAGGAAUUUGUUGUUAUUUACACUUUCUUCUCCUAGACAUUUUAAUUUUACUUACCUUCCUUGAGCACACGGCAAAGUCAAAACACAAGCAGAAUCUUACUUAUGAAUAGAGGCAGAUUUAUUAAGCCAGGGGUAGGCAAACUAUAGCCAAUGAGCCAAAGCCAGGCUGCCAUGGGUUUUUAUAAAUAAAAUUUUAUAGGAACUCAGCCACAGACAUUCCUUUACAUAUUGCCUACAGCUGCUUAAGCACUACAAAGGCAAAGUUGCAUAUUUACAACACAAACAAUAUGGCCUGCAAGCCUAAAGUAUCUACUAUUGUGCCCUUUAUAGAAAAUGUUUAUCAGCUUUUGUUCUGUUAUCCUAAGUUAUGAGGCUUACAUUUCUGGCCACCUCAUUUGCAUUUGAGUUUCCAGUUUUGAGUUUGUAGUUUUGUAUUCUUGCUUGACGAGCCCCAAACCCUGACCUCCAAAUUGAAUGUGCUGUAGAUCCCACAAAAUAUGGAUCCAAUCAAGCUGAUGCCAUGUCAUUAUCUGUAGCUUUUAUUCUUUGCCAUCACACACCUUCCUUGAACAGUUAG